RNAcentral lists this long non-coding RNA (513 nucleotides) under Anas zonorhyncha (Eastern spot-billed duck). RNAcentral describes it as "lncRNA (ENSAZOG00000008563.1)". The record is from RNAcentral. Lineage: Eukaryota; Metazoa; Chordata; Aves; Anseriformes; Anatidae.
GGGGGGGAGGGGGCGGGGUCAGGGGAGGAGGCGGAGUCUGUUAAAUAAGCGGGGGCGGGGCCAGGCGGCUGUCAAUCAAAUGGAGCUGUCAAUCAAACGGGGCUGUCAAUCAACCCGGGCUGUCAAUCAAGUGGAGCUGUCAAUCAAACUGGAGAUGUCAAUCAACCGGAGCUGUCAAUCACGGCUGUCAAUCAGACGAGGCUGUCAAUCAACCCGGGCUGUCAAUCAAGUGGAGCUGUCAAUCAAACGGGGCUGUCAAUCAAAUUGAGCUGUCAAUCACCGGCUGCUGUCAAUCAGGGGCUGUUAUUUGAUGAGCUGUCAAUCAAAUGGGGCUGUCAAUCAAACGGAGCUGUCAAUCACGCGCUGCCUGGAGUGUCAAUCAAGUGGAGGUGUCAAUCAAAUGGAGCUGUCAAUCAAACGGGGCUGUCAAUCAAUUCUAUCCACCAGAUUGAGCUGUCAAUCAAAGCUAUUCAUCAAAUUGAGCUGUCAAUCAAGGGAUAUCAAUCAAAUUGA